RNAcentral lists this ribosomal RNA (324 nucleotides) under uncultured Rhodobacter sp. RNAcentral describes it as "bacterial SSU rRNA". It matches the Rfam family "Bacterial small subunit ribosomal RNA", at positions 8 to 360 of the family's 1533-position model. The record is from RNAcentral. Lineage: Bacteria; Pseudomonadati; Pseudomonadota; Alphaproteobacteria; Rhodobacterales.
AGAGUUUGAUCAUGGCUCAGAACGAACGCUGGCGGCAGGCCUAACACAUGCAAGUCGAGCGAAGUCUUCGGACUUAGCGGCGGACGGGUGAGUAACGCGUGGGAACGUACCCUUUGGUACGGAAUAGCCCCGGGAAACUGGUGAAGGAACCGUAUGGUGUCUUCGGACUAAAGAUUUAUCGCCAAAGGAUCGGCCCGCGUUGGAUUAGGUAGUUGGUGGGGUAAUGGCCUACCAAGCCGACGAUCCAUAGCUGGUUUGAGAGGAUGAUCAGCCACACUGGGACUGAGACACGGCCCAGACUCCUACGGGAGGCAGCAGUGGGGA